RNAcentral lists this ribosomal RNA (496 nucleotides) under uncultured bacterium. RNAcentral describes it as "bacterial SSU rRNA". It matches the Rfam family "Bacterial small subunit ribosomal RNA", at positions 24 to 518 of the family's 1533-position model. The record is from RNAcentral.
UCAGGAUGAACGCUGGCGGCGUGCUUAACACAUGCAAGUCGAACGGAGUUAAGCGCUGAAUGGGGCUCGGCGGAUUCUGCUUAACUAGUGGCGGACGGGUGAGUAACGCGUGAGUAACCUGCCCCCGAGUGGGGAAUAACGUUCUGAAAAGGACGCUAAUACCGCAUAAUAUAUGUUUGUCGCAUGGCAGGCAUAUCAAAAGAUUUAUCGCUCGAGGAUGGACUCGCGUCCGAUUAGCUUGUUGGCGGGGUAACGGCCCACCAAGGCGACGAUCGGUAGCCGGACUGAGAGGUUGAACGGCCACAUUGGGACUGAGACACGGCCCAGACUCCUACGGGAGGCAGCAGUGGGGGAUAUUGCGCAAAAUGGGGGAAACCCUGACGCAGCAACGCCGCGUGGAGGAUGACGGUUUUCGGAUUGUAAACUCCUUUUAUAAGGGACGAACUAAGACGGUACCUUAUGAAUAAGCUCCGGCUAACUACGUGCCAGCCGCCGC